GUAAGUGCUUGGCAGGCGUCGUAGGUGAGAGAGGGGUCCCAAGGUGUGUUCGGGUGUAAUGGGUGGAAAGGGUGCGUAGGCGGUCGGGGAAGUCUGCCGUGAAAGCUCCAAGUGCAUCUUGGAAAUGGCGUCGGAUACUAUCCGGCUCGAGGAAUGGAGGGGAGACUGGAAUUCUCGGUGUAGCAGUGAAAUGCGUAGAUAUCGAGAGGAACACCAGUGGCGAAGGCGAGUCUCUGGACAUUUCCUGACGCUGAGGCACGAAAGCCAGGGGAGCAAACGGGAUUAGAUACCCCGGUAGUC
This 300-nucleotide ribosomal RNA is filed under the name uncultured Bacillus sp. RNAcentral's name for it is "partial 16S ribosomal RNA". The stretch from base 52 to 300 matches the Rfam family "Bacterial small subunit ribosomal RNA", at positions 547 to 795 of the family's 1533-position model. The record is from RNAcentral. Lineage: Bacteria; Bacillati; Bacillota; Bacilli; Caryophanales; Bacillaceae.